UACGGAGGGGGCUAGCGUUGUUCGGAAUUACUGGGCGUAAAGCGCACGUAGGCGGCUUUGUAAGUUAGAGGUGAAAGCCCGGGGCUCAACCCCGGAAUUGCCUUUAAGACUGCAUCGCUUGAACGUCGGAGAGGUGAGUGGAAUUCCGAGUGUAGAGGUGAAAUUCGUAGAUAUUCGGAAGAACACCAGUGGCGAAGGCGGCUCACUGGACGACUGUUGACGCUGAGGUGCGAAAGCGUGGGUAGCAAACAGG
RNAcentral lists this ribosomal RNA (253 nucleotides) under uncultured bacterium. RNAcentral describes it as "partial 16S ribosomal RNA". It matches the Rfam family "Bacterial small subunit ribosomal RNA", at positions 524 to 776 of the family's 1533-position model. The record is from RNAcentral.